CCUAAUACAUGCAAGUCGAACGCACAGCGAAAGGUGCUUGCACCUUUCAAGUGAGUGGCGAACGGGUGAGUAACACGUGGACAACCUGCCUCAAGGCUGGGGAUAACAUUUGGAAACAGAUGCUAAUACCGAAUAAAACUUAGUGUCGCAUGACACAAAGUUAAAAGGCGCUUCGGCGUCACCUAAAGAUGGAUCCGCGGUGCAUUAGUUAGUUGGUGGGGUAAAGGCCUACCAAGACAAUGAUGCAUAGCCGAGUUGAGAGACUGAUCGGCCACAUUGGGACUGAGACACGGCCCAAACUCCUACGGGAGGCUGCAGUAGGGAAUCUUCCACAAUGGGCGAAAGCCUGAUGGAGCAACGCCGCGUGUGUGAUGAAGGCUUUCGGGUCGUAAAGCACUGUUGUAUGGGAAGAACAGCUAGAAUAGGAAAUGAUUUUAGUUUGACGGUACCAUACCAGAAAGGGACGGCUAAAUACGUGCCAGCAGCCGCGGUAAUACGUAUGUCCCGAGCGUUAUCCGGAUUUAUUGGGCGUAAAGCGAGCGCAGACGGUUUAUUAAGUCUGAUGUGAAAGCCCGGAGCUCAACUCCGGAAUGGCAUUGGAAACUGGUUAACUUGAGUGCAGUAGAGGUAAGUGGAACUCCAUGUGUAGCGGUGGAAUGCGUAGAUAUAUGGAAGAACACCAGUGGCGAAGGCGGCUUACUGGACUGCAACUGACGUUGA
RNAcentral lists this ribosomal RNA (720 nucleotides) under Leuconostoc mesenteroides. Its description in RNAcentral is "bacterial SSU rRNA". It matches the Rfam family "Bacterial small subunit ribosomal RNA", at positions 47 to 749 of the family's 1533-position model. Lineage: Bacteria; Bacillati; Bacillota; Bacilli; Lactobacillales; Lactobacillaceae. The record is from RNAcentral.